This 327-nucleotide long non-coding RNA is filed under the name Cicer arietinum (chickpea). Its description in RNAcentral is "long non-coding RNA (CARI_LNC002943)". Lineage: Eukaryota; Viridiplantae; Streptophyta; Magnoliopsida; Fabales; Fabaceae. The record is from RNAcentral.
GCCCGAGCGUCGAUUGGACAAUCGACUAGUUCAGUAUUCAACGUUAAGACAAUCGAUUUGGGAAUCGAUUAAGUAACUCUGGACAUCGAUUUGGACAUCGAUUUGAAAUAUUACCGUUGUGACUAUUUCUCACUAGCCGUUGAAGGUAAUUAUUACCAAAUCGAUUGAGGAUUUCCAGAAACGGUAACAUAGUCGAUUGAGCAAUCGAUUUACUUGUUCAAAGGUUUAAAUAGGAACAGUUCUAAAUCGAUUUCUUCACUGAUUAUCUCCAGAUUUCUCUAUUUUCUCUACUUCAUCUCCUUGCUCUGUCUCUGCAACUGAUAUCUA